RNAcentral lists this ribosomal RNA (720 nucleotides) under Triticum aestivum (bread wheat). RNAcentral's name for it is "partial small subunit ribosomal RNA". Lineage: Eukaryota; Viridiplantae; Streptophyta; Magnoliopsida; Poales; Poaceae. The record is from RNAcentral.
AUGCCGGCAAGGAAGUUGCUGGGUACCGCAAGUUUUCCCUGGGAGCAGCAACCUCCGGCAGGACCCCAAGCCCUUGUUGUAGAGAUAGUUGCCCCCACGGAAGAAUACAUGCCUUCAGUCCUUGCCGUCGAGCCUCAGGCUCCAGCAUGGGCACAUCAUACUAUUCAUUUCCUCCAAACAGGGGAGCUCGCUGAGGAGCAGGAAGAAGCAGAAAAAGUAGCCCGUCGGUCCAGCAUGUACCAGUUUGUGGAUGACGUCCUAUACAGAAGGAGACCGAACGGCUUGAAAUUGAAGUGUAUUCCUUGGGAGGACGGACUAAAGCAGUUGGCAGAGAUACAUGGAAGCAUAUGUGGCUCCCACUUAGGGUCAAGAGCCCUUGCCGGCAAGGCAUUCCGGCAAGGUUUCUUCUGGCCCACUGCCCUCCAGGAUGCAAUGACACUAGUAACCAAGUGUGAAGCGUGCCAGUUCCAUUCAAAGAAGCUUCAUCAACCAACCCAGGCUCUUCAAACAAUUCCUGUUUCCUGGCCAUUUUUGGUAUGGGGGCUCGACAUACUGGGCCCCUUUCCCCAUGUUGUCGAGGGCUUUGAGUACUUGUAUGUUGCGAUUGACAAGUUCACAAAGUGCCCAGAGGUGGAACCAGUAAGAAAGGUGAUAGCGCAGUCGGCUGUCAAGUUCUUCAAGGGACUCAUUUGCCGUUUUGGUGUGCCGAACACAGUUUAG